Molecule: non-coding RNA, 239 nt
Filed under: Terrisporobacter sp.
Lineage: Bacteria; Bacillati; Bacillota; Clostridia; Peptostreptococcales; Peptostreptococcaceae
Description: T-box sequence
Rfam family: T-box leader
About the family: Uncharged tRNA acts as the effector for transcription antitermination of genes in the T-box leader family. T-boxes are found upstream of many aminoacyl-tRNA synthetase genes and some amino acid biosynthetic genes usually in Gram-positive bacteria.
Source: RNAcentral
UUAAAUUCUAUGAAAAAGAAAGUAGAUAUGAAUCGUGUUUCAGCGAGCUGGGGGUUGGUGGAAGCCUAGUAACAACAUUUAUAUUGAAGAGAGCUUUGGAGAAGAAUAUCUGAACUAAUAGUAGGAUAUUAGGUAAUUCCCGCCUUAAGGGAUUAGAGUGGAUAAGUUUUAUUUGCAGUACCUUACGUGCAGCGAAUUUUAUCAAUUAGAGUGGUAACGCGGAAUAUUUCGUCUCUUGG